RNAcentral lists this transfer RNA (73 nucleotides) under Cordylochernes scorpioides. RNAcentral describes it as "tRNA-Arg". The record is from RNAcentral. Lineage: Eukaryota; Metazoa; Arthropoda; Arachnida; Pseudoscorpiones; Chernetidae.
CGAGCCUGCCAGGAUUCAAACCUGGAAUCUUCUUAUCCGUAGUCAGACGCGUUAUCUGUUGCGCCACAGGUCC